AUUUUCCUAGCCCCUUGAUAAGCGGAGCGAGUUUUCACGGUGCUCGACAAGAAUUUACCCGUGUGGUGUUUGAAGCAAUAAAUGCACCCGCCCUUUUAGGUAACCGUGAUUGAGGGCUAUGAAGAAUUACUUGACUUGGACUAUGUGAAG
Long non-coding RNA from Lampris incognitus (smalleye Pacific opah), 150 nucleotides. RefSeq lists it as uncharacterized. NCBI's taxonomy places the organism in Eukaryota, Metazoa, Chordata, Actinopteri, Lampriformes, Lampridae. The transcript is spliced from 3 exons. The record is from RefSeq and is a predicted model, not a curated record.